Molecule: unclassified non-coding RNA, 645 nt
Filed under: Hevea brasiliensis (rubber tree)
Lineage: Eukaryota; Viridiplantae; Streptophyta; Magnoliopsida; Malpighiales; Euphorbiaceae
Source: RNAcentral
GGGCUCCAGCGAGAGCUCACCUUCUUCAGCAUUCACAAUAUCGGUCCCAUGGUCCCAAUCCUCGUUAACACGAUCUGGGUUCUGAUGCUCCUGCCAAUGCUGUUCAUGCUCGCUAUACAUCUCUUGCUUGGUCGUCUCAUCCUCGGCAGCCAUUUCAAUUCCACUUUCAAGCUCCCUCUCAAUGAGGUCAUCAUCAUCCAUAAUAUCCAUCUUCCUGUCCACCUCACCUCGAGAUUUUCUACGUUUCUCGAGAGCUGCCUUCACUUUAUCCUUGUCAAUCUUCCCUCUAACAUCCAUUGGAGAGAGGCCCUUGGGGGCAUCAGUGAGAUAACUUCUAGUUUUAGCUUCAGAAGUCUCACCUGGGGCACCCAUUCCAGACUCAGGCUCUUCAGCGGGGCAUUCAGAUCGACUGAUAAAAGUAUCUGAUACAUUUCCUGGUUCAUGAUGUCGGCGAUCCUUAAAACCACCUUCCAAUCCACCUCUGGUCUCCUUGUACCCAGGGUCGUUAUUUAAAUUAUGUGCAGCUUUUUGGGUGCCAGUUAGCUUAUCCGGGUGUGACUGAUCAGACACAGGACGACUUGCUGAGUGUGCUUGGGCACCAUGAUGCGCAGCUGUGUUACCUGGAGCUUCGGUCUCGUUUCCAUG